GACAGACUUCGUCCGUACUCCUACGGGAGCCAGACUCCAUCCUCGACUCCAACGGCUACAGAUAGACUUCGUCCGGACUCCUAUGGGAGUCGGACUCCGUCCACGACCCCAACUACAGGUAGACUUCGUCCGGACUCCUACGGAAGCCAGACUCCAUCUUCUAUUCCGACUGCGGGAAGACCUCACCCAAACUCCUACGGGUACCGAACCUCGCUACCGACUCUAACCGAACUUUGGCCGACCAGUCUGGACCCCCUGGCAGGCCACAGUAACGGACAACACUGCUCCACUCCCUGCGGCGAACCCUACGCAGCUCCAUUACUCCCUGACAGGCCGUAUUAACGGCCACGAUUCUGCUCCACUCCCUGUGGCGGAUCCUGUGCGAUUCCACCGUUCCCUGACGAGCCACGACAGCGGACGCCGCUCCACUCCCCGUAACUGACUCCACGUGGCAAGCCACGGCCGUAGCCAUGAUCCCACUCUAGUACCCUCCAUAAUAAAUUCCUCCUGACUCUGGGCGGCCCACUACCAGACGGUUACAGGCGUCGCCAUCAAUUUGUUGCCCCC
This 567-nucleotide long non-coding RNA is filed under the name Elaeis guineensis (African oil palm). Its description in RNAcentral is "long non-coding RNA (EGUI_LNC071462)". The record is from RNAcentral. Lineage: Eukaryota; Viridiplantae; Streptophyta; Magnoliopsida; Arecales; Arecaceae.